CGCUCGCGGGGGCGGGUGAGCCGGGAGGGUCCGGUCCGCGACCGGGACGAGCGUCGGAGCCGGGAGCUGCGGCCGCUGGGAGGGAAUUCGUGGGAGCUGUCGCUGGCGGCUGCUCGAGGCCGGGUUCCCGCGUCGCUGAGGCCGGAUUCCCGCUGCAGGCACCGCGUCUGCGGAAGCUCCGACGGCGGCGUCCGUGCGGGGCACCCACCAGAUGCUUCAUGUUUGUCUCUCCGUUGCCCUCUUGAGUUCAAAACGUGCAAGACACCAUUUUGAUAGUAGCUGGACGCAGCUGAAUGUUACAUAUUUCUCUCUUGAAAACAGCCUGUAUAACGUGUCAGGAUAUGCUUUUUUCAGCUGCAUUGAAGACACCACCACCUUCAUUAAGAUACUACUCAUUACCUGGAAAGCUUGCUGGACUGUAACCUCAGAUGCGAAGCCGCUUUUGUUAAAUGGUCAUCAGGUUUCUGAGCCACUCGCCUGGCAGUUGAGCAUCGGUGUUUGGAGUGAUUUCCGUUUUGGAGACAUACGGGAUGAGAAGACUGAGGAGUUGCCCGCUCGGCUCAGCGGUGUUGCAGGGGGGCUGCCGGUGGCUGCAAUGACUGACAGGCUGCCCUGGCUCAGUUAUCACAGUGCUGAUGCUGUCUCUUGUAAAGGUACAGUACUGUGAUAACUGAAGGAUGGCAGCCAUCUGAGCUUCACAGGGCUGCCCGGCCAAGAGCAGGGUUUCCCUUAGAGCUGGGGGACUGAAGGACUGACUUACACAACUACGAUGCAGCACGGUGCUGAAGUGGAAGAUGCUCAUUUUAAGUGCACCUCUUAACUCAGCCGAAGGGGAGGGGGGAAUCGAUGGUUAAGGUACUUCUGGUUUUACUUGAAUAAAAAUUAUGCUUCAUCUCUCUUGAGAGUUUGC
This 910-nucleotide long non-coding RNA is filed under the name Apteryx owenii (little spotted kiwi). RNAcentral's name for it is "lncRNA (ENSAOWG00000012559.1)". The stretch from base 609 to 683 matches the Rfam family "mir-101 microRNA precursor family". The record is from RNAcentral. Lineage: Eukaryota; Metazoa; Chordata; Aves; Apterygiformes; Apterygidae.